AUGUCUUCCCACCACAGGGCUAUGGCGACCCAGGGCAAUGGGGCUUCUGCCAGGCACCAGGAGGCCGACUUGGUGGGACUAGCCACCCUGCGACCCUUGCUGGAAGAGAAAGCCAAGUGUGUCAUGAUCAACUCAACUCAAGCUGAAGAAAAGCAAGCGUACCCUGUGUCCCAGGAAGAAGAGGAGGAGAUGCGGGUAUUGCCUCUCCCUCUGCAGGCCCACCAUGCUAUGGAGAAGAUGGAGGAGUUCGUGUACAAGGUGUGGGAGGGCAGCUGGCGGGUCAUCCCGUAUGACACGCUUCCUGAUUGGCUGAAGGACAAUGACUACCUGCUCCAUGGCCACCGACCACCCAUGCCCUCCUUUCGGGCUUGCUUCAAGAGCAUCUUCCGCAUCCACACGGAAACGGGCAACAUCUGGACCCAUCUCCUCGGGUUCCUGCUGUUUCUCUUUUUGGGCAUCUUGACCAUGCUCAGACCGAACGUCUACUUCAUGGCCCCCCUGCAGGAGAAGGUGGUGUUCGGGGUGUUCUUUCUGGGUGCAGUGCUCUGCCUCAGCUUCUCUUGGCUCUUCCACACCGUCUGCUGUCAUUCAGAGAAAGUCUCCCAGACGUUUUCCAAACUGGACUAUUCCGGGAUCGCUCUGCUAAUUAUGGGGAGUUUUGUCCCUUGGCUCUAUUACUGCUUCUACUGCUCCCCAAAGGUGCGGCUGGUCUACCUCUGCACCGUCUGUGUGCUGGGCAUUUCUUCCAUCAUCGUGGCACAGUGGGACAGGUUCGCCACUCCUAAGCACCGGAAGACCAGAGCAGGAGUGUUCCUGGGCCUGGGCUUGAGUGGUGUGGUGCCUACCAUGCACUUCACCAUCGUGGAGGGCAUUGUCAAAGCUGUCACAGUGGGCCGGAUGGGCUGGUUCUUGCUCAUGGCUUUUAUGUACAUCACCGGAGCCUGCCUCUACGCUGCUCGGAUUCCUGAGCGCUUCUUUCCAGGGAAAUUUGACCUAUGGUUCCAGUCUCAUCAGAUUUUCCACGUGCUGGUGGUGGUGGCUGCUCUGGUCCACUUCUACGUGGUCUCCAGCCUUCAGGAAUUCCGUUAUAGCCUAGCAGGUGGCUGUACUGAUGAUUCCCUGCUCUGA
RNA transcript from Dipodomys ordii (Ord's kangaroo rat), 1128 nucleotides. It is a transcript of the gene named adiponectin receptor protein 1 pseudogene, with no coding region annotated. The record is from RefSeq and is a predicted model, not a curated record. NCBI's taxonomy places the organism in Eukaryota, Metazoa, Chordata, Mammalia, Rodentia, Heteromyidae. The transcript has a single exon.